Lolium rigidum is the source of this 2673-nucleotide long non-coding RNA. RefSeq lists it as uncharacterized. The record is from RefSeq and is a predicted model, not a curated record. The transcript has 7 exons. NCBI's taxonomy places the organism in Eukaryota, Viridiplantae, Streptophyta, Magnoliopsida, Poales, Poaceae.
ACUCCCCACUCCCCGCCGCCUCUCCUUCUUCCACAGCCAAAUCAACAAACCAAGAAAACAAACCAAGAAAACCGUAGCCGCCUCUCACUUCGUCUCCCCUGCAAUAUCUCUCCCCCAAUCUCCACACGUCCUCCCUCCCCCAAUCUCUCUUCCUUCCUCUGCCACUCUGCCAGACCCAACAGCUGGUUGAGCCACCUCUAUCCCAUCUUCUGGCCGAGCUUGUCGAGCCGUCGUCACAACCAGCAGCCACCUCACCACGUGAGCAGCAACAUCGUGCUAUGGUCCUGGCGGCUGACGCGGGAUAGAGAGCGGAGGCGGCGCAGGAAGGAUGAGCACACAGAGGUGGUGGAGCAGCAGCGGUAUAGGCGAAGACCCUCUCCAUCAUCCUCUGGCUCUAGGCUGCUAAGGUCCUCAUUGACCAGAACGAAUCUGGAAAGGUCUCUUGGUUAUUUGAGAAGUAUUAGAUGAUUCCAGCAUCCGUCUUGCCCAUCAAGAGUAGGUUUGUUCUGCUGAUCAAGAGCGUGGUGAGCAAGGCAUUAAGGAUGCCAGCAAAUUGUCUCUGAGUAAAUUAUUGGUGAAGUUUGUGGUAGUCGGCCAUGUCCUGGCAGCACCUGGGGACAAAGUAUCGGCAUCGGUGGUCUCGCCGGCUCCACAUUGUCCUAGAAUUAUUGGUGGAAGAAGCAUCAAUUUGUCCGAGCUUGACGCCGGAUCUUUAUUUGGUAUGUCCAUGCGCAGGCCACCUCUCUCGCUGCUGGUUUGCUGCCGCACUCCGUCUCUCCUCUCCUCGGUGCUCAACCCGAGGAGCGUGGGACAUUGUUGCACGCCCCUUUUCCGUCCUCUGGCUGAGGUACAAGCGCAGGCGGGUCUGGCAGAUGACGGCCAGGUUCUGGCUGAUUGUGGGGGUGGUUGUUCUGUGGGGGUCUUUGUUCUCAGCGACAGGGAGAGGAACACCAACCUGAACGCUACAAGUUUUGAUCAUGGUUGAGGGCCGCUCUGUCCAUGGUCACCGGGAGAGUCAUCUCCCUGGUUGUGCUCUUGCCUCAAAUCGACCAGCGGAUGUUAGACACAGUUUCCUGUGUUGGAUCUGACAAGGAGGUUUGGAUUGGCUCUCCUAUCUCCUACAUCUCCAUUUAUUUUCGGAAAUUGAUAUGGGUUAUCCUUAUGUAAUGAAACAAUUUAGAUUAAACAUAAACUAAGAGAUAGAUACAGACCAAAGUUAAGUUGUUUGCUUGAGUAAAUUAGGCAGCGGCAUGGCCUCUGCCUCCUUAUAGUGAGACACUGUGAAAUGGAAGGUAUAAGUAUCAGCUAAAUCUUUUAUAGUGGAUCCCUUUAUAUGUUAUGUAUCAACAAUGUUUCCUUUUGGCAAGGUUAAUAAUAAUUAUGUGCCCCGACAAAACUGAUUCAUCCUCAGUUGUCUGUGCUUCAAGUCUUCUUUGAAAAAUGCAAAAUUCUUGUGACUGGUGGUGGAUUGUGUGUUCAGGUUAUAUUGUGUAAAAUGUAAAAAUUGCAAAAUCUAACGUGUGUUUAGGUUAGACUAUGCUAAUUCAAUCAUAUUGGUAUUCUCUGGUGUUUCGCUAUGGCGGCUUGCGCCCCUUCAUAUUGUUGGGGCCAAUGCGAAUUGCAUAUGGUCAUACUGCAAUUAGUGUUGCAAUCUACUUAUAUUUUUGGCUUUUCACACUUCCUCACAAUUUUGUGACCAUCGGAGCAUUGCAUAUGGUGGCACUGCAAUCAAUUAUGCAGUCCACUUUAUUCAUGCCAUUACUGUAGGUGCGUUAUCAAACCGAUGGAGUUCUGUUUAGACACCUUUGUUCUCUUUACGAUGAGCCUAUGGUACAUAGAUCCUGUGAACUUGGAUCUUGAUUGCCUUUGUUUUUGAUGUUGCUAACAUCAAAUUCAUCAGUGUUAAGUAGGCAUGUAAAUUUCCCCUUAUGCUAUAUCUUUAUCUGCAUACAUAUUUCUUGCUCUAGAUAAUAUAUCUUAUUUAUCUGGGUAUAUUUAAUUAUCGCUGGUAUUUCUCUGGCAAUUUUAGGUGGUACCUAUUUUUGUCAUUAGAGAAGGAAAUAUUUCUCAGUUUCCGCUAUUAACUUGUGUUUUAUUCUCCUACAUGAUAGGAUCAUAUCAUAGGCAUAGAGACAUUAUGCAUUGGAGGGUGAGAAAGUUUACCCAAGAGGGCUGCAUCCAUAUGACAAAUAAGUUUCGUUCUUCCCUUCAGAAUGAUACAUAUAUCCAAGGUUUUUGAGCCGCCAGCCCUCCGGCUUGGUGAUUAAUCUUAACUGCCCAUGGCUUUUAAUGGGGAGGAUAUAUUAUCUGUGCAUGCUGAUCUAAACCGAGAGUUAACUCACUAUGGAUUGGUUUCCGCAGUUGGGUGUUUCAUCUGGAUUGCUUCCAUGUUAACUGUGAAUUUCCUUGCUGGUACUAGACCUGACGAGGAGGUUUUCGUUGUCAUCUCUAAUGGUGUGAGGAUUUCUUACAUAUGUAUAUUGUUAUGGGUUUUCUUGUUAAGUGUGAUUAAACAUAUUGCUAUGCACUCCUAUAUUUGUAUUUUUGGUAGCCGGGGAAAGCACUAUGGGCUGUCUGUUUUUUGCUUUUGGUUUUAAUCACUGCAAUAUCAUGUUUAACAACAUAAUUAAGUUGGUGGUCCUACCUCAAUGGUUCUCUAUCUGUCUGAAGUAA